UUGGGAGCUCUCCCAUAUGGUCGACCUGCAGGCGGCCGCGAAUUCACUAGUGAUUCGUAUUACCGCGGCUGCUGGCACGGAGUUAGCCGGAGCUUAUUCUCCCGGUACUGUCAUUAUCAUCCCGGGUAAAAGAGCUUUACGACCCUAAGGCCUUCAUCACUCACGCGGCAUUGCUGGAUCAGGCUUGCGCCCAUUGUCCAAUAUUCCCCACUGCUGCCUCCCGUAGGAGUCUGGGCCGUGUCUCAGUCCCAGUGUGGCUGAUCAUCCUCUCAGACCAGCUAAGGAUCGUCGGCUUGGUAGGCCUUUACCCCACCAACUACCUAAUCCUACGCGGGCUCAUCCCUGGCCGAUAAAUCUUUGGUCCGAAGACAUCAUCCGGUAUUAGCAGUCAUUUCUAACUGUUAUUCCGAAGCCAAGGGCAGAUUCCCACGCGUUACGCACCCGUGCGCCACUAACCCCGAAGGGUUCGUUUGACUUGCAUGUGUUAGGCAUGCCGCCAGCGUUCGUUCUGAGCCAUGAUCAAACUCUAAUCGAAUUCCCGCGGCCGCCAUGGCGGCCGGGAGCAUGCGACGUCGGGCCCAAU
Molecule: ribosomal RNA, 583 nt
Filed under: uncultured Alphaproteobacteria bacterium
Lineage: Bacteria; Pseudomonadati; Pseudomonadota; Alphaproteobacteria
Description: partial 16S ribosomal RNA
Source: RNAcentral